This 253-nucleotide ribosomal RNA is filed under the name uncultured bacterium. RNAcentral's name for it is "partial 16S ribosomal RNA". It matches the Rfam family "Bacterial small subunit ribosomal RNA", at positions 524 to 776 of the family's 1533-position model. The record is from RNAcentral.
GACGAAGGAUUCAAGCGUUGUCCGGAUUUACUGGGUUUAAAGGGUGCGUAGGCGGAAAUAUAAGUCAGUGGUGAAAUCCCGCAGCUCAACUGCGGAACUGCCAUUGAAACUGCAUUUCUUGAAUACGGUUGAGGUAGAUGGAAUGUAACAUGUAGCGGUGAAAUGCUUAGAUAUGACAUAGAACACCGAUUGCGAAGGCAGCUCACUACGGGAUCAUUGACACUGAGGCACGAAAGCGUGGGGAUCAAACAGG